This 334-nucleotide long non-coding RNA is filed under the name Cucumis sativus (cucumber). RNAcentral describes it as "long non-coding RNA (CSAT_LNC001114)". Lineage: Eukaryota; Viridiplantae; Streptophyta; Magnoliopsida; Cucurbitales; Cucurbitaceae. The record is from RNAcentral.
UGUUUUUAAUUAUUUGAAAAAGCGGGGAGAAAAACUCAACCCUACAGGAGAUGUCCAAACACUACCUUACAAACAAACUCCAAUUUGAAAGAAUAAUACCAUAAAAUCCAAGAGAAAGACACACACAGAGGCAUUCAAUCAAUCUAACAAUAUCCCUGCUACUCUGCUGAUAUUAGUAUAAGUGUAUUAUAUAUUGUCCUUUAUCAUCCUUUUGUAUUCAACUAUUUAGGAUAACCUUGUGAUUAUUAGUUAGCGGUCAUUCUUUUUUAUUGGGGUCGCUUUCUAUAGUUCCCUUAAACACCCUUUGUUAAAUAUUUUUCUGUAAGCAUUUGCA